This 1359-nucleotide long non-coding RNA is filed under the name Setaria italica (foxtail millet). RNAcentral's name for it is "long non-coding RNA (SITA_LNC006609)". The record is from RNAcentral. Lineage: Eukaryota; Viridiplantae; Streptophyta; Magnoliopsida; Poales; Poaceae.
AUCAAGUUGCGAUACAGCUGACUCCCAGUUCCAGCUAAUCGUACCUCAAGGCAGUCCGCUAGGCAAAAUGCUAGCCUCUGAGAAUCAUCCCCACUUGUUGAAGCAUGUUGCCUGAUGAUGCUCAGUAUGUCAUUUGCUAAGGUAUGAUUAUUUACAGAUACUGCUUCUGCACAAUGAAUAAGGAGGGUUCUGAGAUCCACCACCUCUUUCCUCUGUUGCUUCUUACCUUUUUUCUUUCGCUGAGCUGAUGUUCUUCCCUGAUCAGUCUGUGAGUUGAUGGUUGAUUUACUUGCCAUAGCUUCUUGUAAAAUAAUACCUUGAUCUAUGAGUUCAUGGUCAGAGCAGAGUAGAACCUUAUCGAAAAUCUCGUUUCGAGUCGGCUCAUUGAAAGAAGUGGCAAACUGCUUGUUACUCCUUCCUUCUAAUAAAUCAAAGUCUUCCUUGCACGAAUUCAUUUUCUGACACUGAACCUCAAAUAAUGCAUGCUUUCUUGACUCUCUAUCAUUGAUCUGAAGUGAUUGGUUAUCUCUGCUAGUCUUUUCGACAAUGGAAAGGCCACCAACAUUCAAACCAAGCUCCAUUGUGUAUGUAUCCUGAGUGAACUGUCUUGUCUCUCCAACAAUUGCAGACAAACUCCAUGGAGCUUCAAAAGCUUGCAAGUCGUCAUUGUAGCGGUUAUUGCCUGAGCUAAUAGCUACAGAGAAGCUACUGCAUGGCUGCCCAUUACUGAUGCUGCCAUCAAGAGUCUUCAUGUGAUCAGAGCUACAGAGUGGUAGUAGUUGAGUAUUCGCUGGAUAAUUUUGUCCAAUAAGUCUAUACAAUGGCUCCUCCAUAGCUCUAAGUGCAGACUCACCAUGAUGUGGUUUAAAUUUGUCAUCGCUGUCCUCCUCCAUCAACAGCUUGUUUAUGUAUCUGAGGGUUAUAUCUGAGUUGAUCCAACUGUCCUCUGAAUAUUCUGCUACAUUGGUUCCAUGCCAAUCUGGUGUCAUAUUGCUACUCACUCCAUGGAAUUGGGGAGCAUAUAUUUUAUUCGAAGAGGAUGCGCUCAAUGCAACGUGACCAUCAUUGUUAAUCGUAGUUGCCACUGGUGGAUAAUGGUUAAUGGAGCUUGCUGGGUGCGAAAGUAAAUCCAAAUCAUUAUACUCGGUAGUUGGAUCGAUGAAUUUCUGAGAAGAGGCAUAGCACCCAGGAGUAUUUGCCAUGCUGCUUGGGAAGUCCUCAAAGUUACAAUUAAAUCUGUCGUUGCACUCCAUUGGUUGGGUGUUUGAUCAUUGCAGAAUGUUGUACCGCCCCGUACACAAGAUUGUCUAGAACUGCAUUGUAAACAAUGAACUUAGUAUGUGAAAAUGAAAAUUGAUG